This 412-nucleotide long non-coding RNA is filed under the name Mytilus galloprovincialis (Mediterranean mussel). The record is from RNAcentral. Lineage: Eukaryota; Metazoa; Mollusca; Bivalvia; Mytilida; Mytilidae.
GUAUAUUUUUCAUUACAUAUUUGAUUUAAUCAGGCAAAAAAUAGCCUACAUGGAAAUUUUCAACAAACCGUAAAUACGGGAUCAAAACUAUAAAUUGUUUGCCCUUAAGCAAAGGACACAGAAGGAUUCAUGACAAAAUUGUGUUUUGGUGUUGGUGAUGCGUUUGUAGAUCUUAUUUUACUGAACAAUCUUGCUGCUUAAUUACAAUUAUCUCUACCUAUAAUGAAAGUGAUAGUGGGAAAUAUUUUGAAAAAAUUUACAAAAAUUUACAAAAUUUAUGAAAAUUGUUAAAAAUUGACUAUAAAGGGUAAUUACUCCUUAAGGGGUCAAUUGAACACUUUGGUCAUGUUGACCUAUUUGUAGCUCUUACUUUCCUUUACAUUAUUGCUGUUUACAGUUUAUUUCUAUCUAU